This 906-nucleotide ribosomal RNA is filed under the name Metarhizium sp. RNAcentral describes it as "partial large subunit ribosomal RNA". It matches the Rfam family "Eukaryotic large subunit ribosomal RNA", at positions 37 to 966 of the family's 3401-position model. Lineage: Eukaryota; Fungi; Ascomycota; Sordariomycetes; Hypocreales; Clavicipitaceae. The record is from RNAcentral.
AGCAUAUCAAUAAGCGGAGGAAAAGAAACCAACAGGGAUUGCCCCAGUAACGGCGAGUGAAGCGGCAACAGCUCAAAUUUGAAAUCUGGCCCCCAGGGCCCGAGUUGUAAUUUGCAGAGGAUGCUUUUGGUGAGGUGCCUUCCGAGUUCCCUGGAACGGGACGCCAUAGAGGGUGAGAGCCCCGUCUGGUUGGAUACCGAGCCUCUGUAAAGCUCCUUCGACGAGUCGAGUAGUUUGGGAAUGCUGCUCUAAAUGGGAGGUAUAUGUCUUCUAAAGCUAAAUAUUGGCCAGAGACCGAUAGCGCACAAGUAGAGUGAUCGAAAGAUGAAAAGCACUUUGAAAAGAGGGUUAAAUAGUACGUGAAAUUGUUGAAAGGGAAGCACUUAUGACCAGACUUGGCCCCGGUGAAUCAUCCAGCGGUUCCCGUUGGUGCACUUUGCCGGGGUUCAGGCCAGCAUCAGUUCGCUCCGGGGGAUAAAGGCUUUGGGAAUGUGGCUCCCUCGGGAGUGUUAUAGCCCAUUGCGCAAUACCCUGUGGCGGGCUGAGGUUCGCGCUUUAUGCAAGGAUGCUGGCAUAAUGGUCAUCAGUGACCCGUCUUGAAACACGGACCAAGGAGUCGUCUUCGUAUGCGAGUGUUCGGGUGUUAAACCCCUACGCGUAAUGAAAGUGAACGCAGGUGAGAGCCCUCCAGGGCGCAUCAUCGACCGAUCCUGAUGUUCUCGGAUGGAUUUGAGUAAGAGCAUACGGGGCCGGACCCGAAAGAAGGUGAACUAUGCCUGUAUAGGGUGAAGCCAGAGGAAACUCUGGUGGAGGCUCGCAGCGGUUCUGACGUGCAAAUCGAUCGUCAAAUAUGGGCAUGGGGGCGAAAGACUAAUCGAACCUUCUAGUAGCUGGUUUCCGCCGAGU